This 250-nucleotide signal recognition particle RNA is filed under the name pig gut metagenome. RNAcentral describes it as "Bacterial large signal recognition particle RNA". It matches the Rfam family "Bacterial large signal recognition particle RNA". Rfam says of the family: The signal recognition particle (SRP) is a universally conserved ribonucleoprotein involved in the co-translational targeting of proteins to membranes. Archaeal SRP consists of a 7S RNA and homologues of the eukaryotic SRP19 and SRP54 proteins. The record is from RNAcentral.
GCCGGGGAGAUAGCGGUGCCCUGUACCUGCAACCCGCUACAGCAGGGGUGAUGCCAAUCUGAGGACUUCUUAUUGCAAAGCUGCCUUUUAUAAGUGGCGUUGACGUUUGGGUCUCAUGCGACGGGAAUCUAUGAACCGUGUCAGGCCAGGAAUGGAGCAGCACUAAGUAGAACCUUCCGGGUGUUGUGAGGUAGCCUGGACUGAGUUAACUGUAAGAGUAACGUUUGUGGUGGAUUUUCGAGGUGCGGCG